This 245-nucleotide ribosomal RNA is filed under the name uncultured Lachnospiraceae bacterium. RNAcentral describes it as "partial 16S ribosomal RNA". It matches the Rfam family "Bacterial small subunit ribosomal RNA", at positions 524 to 768 of the family's 1533-position model. Lineage: Bacteria; Bacillati; Bacillota; Clostridia; Lachnospirales; Lachnospiraceae. The record is from RNAcentral.
UACGUAUGGAGCAAGCGUUAUCCGGAUUUACUGGGUGUAAAGGGAGCGUAGGCGGCCUUAAAAGUCUGAUGUGAAAACCCGCGGCUCAACCGCGGGCCUGCAUUGGAAACUUUAGGGCUGGAGUGCCGGAGGGGCAAGUGGAAUUCCCGGUGUAGCGGUGAAAUGCAUAGAUAUCGGGAGGAACACCAGUGGCGAAGGCGGCUUGCUGGACGGUAACUGACGCUGAGACUCGAAAGCGUGGGGAG